UACUGACGGUACCUAUCGAAUCAGCAUCGGCUAACUCCGUGCCAGCAGCCGCGGUAAUACGGAGGAUGCAAGCGUUAUCCGGAAUUAUUGGGCGUAAAGCGUCCGUAGGUGGUUGUUCAAGUCUGCUGUUAAAGCGUGCGGCUUAACCGCAUACCAGCAGUGGAAACUGGGCGACUAGAGUGCGGUAGGGGUCAGGGGAAUUCCCAGUGUAGCGGUGAAAUGCGUAGAUAUUGGGAAGAACACCGGUGGCGAAAGCGCCUGACUGGACCUGCACUGACACUGAGGGACGAAAGCUAGGGGAGCGAAUGGGAUUAGAUACCCCAGUAGUC
Molecule: ribosomal RNA, 329 nt
Filed under: uncultured cyanobacterium
Lineage: Bacteria; Bacillati; Cyanobacteriota
Description: bacterial SSU rRNA
Rfam family: Bacterial small subunit ribosomal RNA
Source: RNAcentral